Oryzias javanicus (javanese ricefish) is the source of this 1594-nucleotide long non-coding RNA. The record is from Ensembl. Lineage: Eukaryota; Metazoa; Chordata; Actinopteri; Beloniformes; Adrianichthyidae.
AAGUAAAUAUAAAAGAAUCGCAUACUUAAUUCAUUCACAGUAGUUGUGCACUGAACUCAAAAACUUAAUUUUUUUAGAUUCUAAAUCAGUUUUUCUGAUUGCAGGAUGGAGAGGAGCUUAUAGUCAAUGAGAAUAUGAAGAUAGUACAACAUGGCGCGCGUUGCUCCAUGACCAUAGUGUGCAGUGAGGGUGAGGACAGCGGCAUUUACACCUGUUAUGCUCACAACGACUCUGGCCAGGCCUCCUGUGAAGCACAGCUUACAGUUGAAGAGGGUGAGGCAUCCGCUUGCUUCUCUUUCUGCACAACUUGCACAAAUACUAUCAAUCACGGUGGUGAAUGGACGGUGAAAUGGUACAAGAUGAUCAUUUGAUUCUCUGUAGGUCCACUUGAGUCUCAAGAAAGAGAGGUGGAGCUGGGCAAAAGAAGGAAACUUUUCUCUGUGUAUGACGUCCAUGAGGAGAUUGGAAGGUAAGUAGGAAAAAGCUGCUUUCUUUGUCCAGGAACGGAGACCAACUCCAAUGAUCAUGAAACUUUGUGUUUUGAAGGGGAACAUUUGGGGUGGUGAAGCGUGUUAUUCACAGACGAACGGGCGAAGUCUUCGCUGCCAAGUUCCUGCCUCUGCGGAGCAGCACUCGUACCCGAGCCUUUCAGGAGAGGGACCUGCUGUCCCGCCUGGCUCACCCCAGGAUCGCCUGUCUGCUGGAUUUCUUCUGCACCAGGCGCACGCUGGUUCUGAUCUCAGAAAUGUGUUGCUCUCAUGGACUCCUGGAUCAUUUGUUACUCCAAAGCUCUGUCUCAGAGAGAGAGAUUCAGUUCUAUAUCCAACAAAUUCUCGAGGGAGUUGGUCAUAUUCACAGCAUGAACAUUUUGCAUCUAGACAUUAAGGUGAGAUUUUUGUCACAGUAAACAUUUCAACCAUAAUCAUAUCAGAACUUCACUUUUUUUUAAUGUUUUUAUAUAUUUGUUUCCCAUUCAGCCCGAUAAUAUUUUAAUGGUUUAUCCUCCACGAGAUGAGAUCAAGAUCUGUGACUUUGGCUUCUGCCAGGAAAUAGACGCAUCCCGACAUCAGUAUAGUGUGUAUGGAACGCCCGAGUUUGUUGCACCUGAGAUUGUUCACCAAGAACCGGUCACCGUGGCCUCUGAUAUUUGGUAAAUUUAUCCAGAAAUCUGAAACUUUAAUACAAUUUAAAUAGCAAAAACAGUAUUUUUAUCUAAGCCAUGUUUUUUUUUUAGGGCUGUGGGUGUGGAAACAUACCUGUGGUGAGUGCUUUAAAAAUGAUAAUUUAGCCCCACUACUGUUUUUAAUGCUUCAUAUACUGAAUAAUCUUUGUCUUUGCUCUGAUAGCCUCGUGGGUCGAUGCCCUUUCGUUGGAGAAACUGACCGUGCAACGCUCUUGAUGGUUGGGGAGGGAACUCUAAACUGGGACACUCCAGACGUUAACUGCAGAAGUCCUGAAGCCAAGAAGUUUCUUCGCAUGGUCCUUCAACCAGAUCCAGAGUAUGGCAGCAGCAGCUAUUGAGCUUUUACUCUAAUUCUACCUUAUAUGAACAUUUACUGACAUUUAAAUCUGGAUUUUACCUGCGAUUUUUGAG